GAGUGUGCUCCUCCCUUCUCCCCAGGGACUGUUGGCCACCAGCCCAUGAGAACAAAGGAAACAGAGUUGAAGGCCAGGGUUCUGAUUGCCCAUGAGUACAACAGAAAUGACUACCAGGAUAAGCUUCAAAGAAGCAGCUCAAUGUUCAUUGAGAUGAAUCAAGGGCUAUAUAGAUUUUGGGGAAGGGGGUAGGAAUUUCAAGGGUAGGUAUGUACUAUUAGGUACAAUUUAACGUAGCUUAUUUGCAUGGAGGGAUAUUCCAGGAAUUCCAGGUGCUUGCUAUUGGUUCUUAUCAGGAAGGAUAGAAAGGAAGCUGAACCUAUAAUCUAACCAAGACUAAGGGAAAGUCCACAGGUAGAGGGUCGGGGAGGGGGGUUGGCUCCCUAGAUAAGGUCAGAUAAGGAGAAGCCCUGCUGGUAAAGGGAGCCUGGCAUUUUGUGCAGAGAGCUAGAGAGUUGUCUGGACAAUGGUAGACUAUGACCUUAGUUAACAGGGCCCAACACUUGAGAGAUGUUAAACAUCAGUCUUUGAUAGAAUCGUGAAGAAGUUGCUAUUAAUAUGAGGGAAGUACUGCUGCAGCAACAGCAUGGAUGAACUUGCCAGCAAGAGUGAAGACAGGAUUGGAAAGUCAAGAAGGAAAGAGGGUUCUGCGGGAAAGUCUGGACCACUUUCACUGUGCACACGUGUGUCUUCAUCUGUGUAGCUUGUCCUGCUGGAAACCAUUUCCUUCCAUUUUAUAGAUAUCCCGAGGUUUCGCCAAUAGAAAGCACCAGCGACUUAUAGUCUGUCGAGUGGAGACUGAUAUAUGGAAUCUGUUUGAAGAGAAUGACUAAUGGAAAUCCCAUAACAGAGAGACACGUGGAAUAAUGUCUGGAAAUCGGUUAAAAGAAGGAUGAUUCAGUCAAUGGUGCUUUAUUUAGUAAUUGGAAAGAGCCAGAAAAGAGGAUCUUGAAUAUUCUCAUUGCAAAGAAAUGAUCCAUGUUUAAGAUAAAGGACUAAGUAUAUCGAGUUGUUCGGUAUGUAAGAUAAACACAUCCUCAAACAUCAGAGUGUACUUCAUGGAGACAAGCAAUUACUAUCAAUGAAAAGCCACUUGGCAGUAAGUAAGAGUC
Long non-coding RNA from Mus musculus (house mouse), 1112 nucleotides. RefSeq annotates it as predicted gene, 32931. The transcript has 3 exons. Lineage: Eukaryota; Metazoa; Chordata; Mammalia; Rodentia; Muridae. The record is from RefSeq and is marked validated.